ACUAUGAUUUUUGCCCCUUUUGACCAAGUUAAUUUUUUGGAUCGUCUUAAGAUCGAAACUAACCUACGUCCCGGAAUAUUUCAUUCAACAUUUUAUGAAAAAACGUUCAAUGCUGUAAUAAUAGUCGAACAAAAUUUGGAAUAGGAUGUUCCAAAUGUUAGAGAAGGGUGUGGCCGAACGGUAUUUUUCGUAAAGGAGACAACCUUGCGGUUAAUAUUUAUAAUUGCCCUUU
Molecule: non-coding RNA, 232 nt
Organism: Cinara cedri
Lineage: Eukaryota; Metazoa; Arthropoda; Insecta; Hemiptera; Aphididae
Source: the annotation of a GenBank genome assembly